UCGAUUUGGAGUUUGUUGCCUUGAGUGAUGGGCUCCGAAGCUAACGCGAUAAAUCGACCGCCUGGGGGGUACGGCCGCAAGGUUAAAACUCAAAUGAAUUGACGGGGGCCCGCACAAGCGGUGGAGCAUGUGGUUUAAUUCGAUGCAACGCGAAGAACCUUACCUGGUCUUGACAUCCACAGAAUCUAGCAGAGAUGCGAGAGUGCCUUCGGGAACUGUGAGACAGGUGCUGCAUGGCUGUCGUCAGCUCGUGUUGUGAAAUGUUGGGUUAAGUCCCGCAACGAGCGCAACCCUUAUCCUUUGUUGCCAGCGGUUUGGCCGGGAACUCAAAGGAGACUGCCGUUGAUAAAGCGGAGGAAGGUGGGGACGACGUCAAGUCAUCAUGGCCCUUACGACCAGGGCUACACACGUGCUACAAUGGCGUAUACAAAGGGAGGCGACCUCGCGAGAGCAAGCGGACCUCACAAAGUACGUCUAAGUCCGGAUUGGAGUCUGCAACUCGACUCCAUGAAGUCGGAAUCGCUAGUAAUCGUGAAUCAGAAUGUCACGGUGAAUACGUUCCCGGGCCU
This 569-nucleotide ribosomal RNA is filed under the name uncultured Gammaproteobacteria bacterium. RNAcentral's name for it is "bacterial SSU rRNA". It matches the Rfam family "Bacterial small subunit ribosomal RNA", at positions 812 to 1381 of the family's 1533-position model. The record is from RNAcentral. Lineage: Bacteria; Pseudomonadati; Pseudomonadota; Gammaproteobacteria.